Molecule: ribosomal RNA, 253 nt
Filed under: uncultured bacterium
Lineage: Bacteria
Description: partial 16S ribosomal RNA
Rfam family: Bacterial small subunit ribosomal RNA
Source: RNAcentral
UACGAAGGGGGCUAGCGUUACUCGGAAUUACUGGGCGUAAAGCGUGCGUAGGUGGUUUGUUAAGUCUGCUGUGAAAGCCCCGGGCUCAACCUGGGAAUGGCAGUGGAUACUGGCAAGCUAGAGUGCGGUAGAGGGGUGUGGAAUUCCCGGUGUAGCGGUGAAAUGCGUAGAGAUCGGGAGGAACACCAGUGGCGAAGGUGGCACCCUGGACCAGCACUGACACUGAGGCACGAAAGCGUGGGGAGCAAACAGG